Molecule: ribosomal RNA, 443 nt
Filed under: uncultured bacterium
Lineage: Bacteria
Description: partial 16S ribosomal RNA
Rfam family: Bacterial small subunit ribosomal RNA
Source: RNAcentral
CCUACGGGUGGCAGCAGUGGGGAAUAUUGGGCAAUGGGCGCAAGCCUGACGCAGCAACGCCGCGUGAAGGAAGAAGGCCCUCGGGUUGUAAACUUCUGUUGUCAGGGACGAAACAAAUGACGGUAAAGGACGAAUAAGCCACGGCUAACGACGGGCCAGCAGCCGCGGUAAUACGUAGGUGGCAAGCGUUAUCCGGAUUUACUGGGUGUAAAGGGGGAGGAGGCGGGAGAGCAAUUCAGAUGUGAAAUUGCAGGGCUCAACCCUGGAACUGCAUUUGAAACUGUUUUUCUUGAGUGAUGGAGAGGCAGGCGGAAUUCCGUGUGUAGCGGUGAAAUGCGUAGAUAUCCGGAGGAACACCAGUGGCGAAGGCGGCCUGCUGGACAUUAACUGACGCUGAGGCGCGAAAGCGUGGGGAGCAAACAGGAUUAGAUACCCUUGUAGUC